UGGGGAAUCUUGGACAAUGGGGGCAACCCUGAUCCAGCCAUGCCGCGUGAGUGAUGAAGGCCUUAGGGUCGUAAAGCUCUUUCGCCUGUGAAGAUAAUGACGGUAGCAGGUAAAGAAACCCCGGCUAACUCCGUGCCAGCAGCCGCGGUAAUACGGAGGGGGUUAGCGUUGUUCGGAAUUACUGGGCGUAAAGCGCACGUAGGCGGACCAGAAAGUUGGGGGUGAAAUCCCGGGGGCUCAACCCCGGAACUGCCUCCAAAACUAUUGGUCUAGAGUUCGAGAGAGGUGAGUGGAAUUCCAAGUGUAGAGGUGAAAUUCGUAGAUAUUUGGAGGAACACCAGUGGCGAAGGCGGCUCACUGGCUCGAUACUGACGCUGAGGUGCGAAAGUGUGGGGAGCAAACAGGAUUAGAUACCCUGGUAGUCCACGCCGUAAAACGAUGAGUGCUAGAUGUUGGGAUUUUCGGAUUUCAGUGUCGCAGCUAACGCAUUAAGCACUCCGCCUGGGGAGUACGGCCGCAAGGUUAAAACUC
Molecule: ribosomal RNA, 531 nt
Filed under: uncultured bacterium
Lineage: Bacteria
Description: bacterial SSU rRNA
Rfam family: Bacterial small subunit ribosomal RNA
Source: RNAcentral